RNAcentral lists this ribosomal RNA (427 nucleotides) under uncultured bacterium. RNAcentral's name for it is "partial 16S ribosomal RNA". It matches the Rfam family "Bacterial small subunit ribosomal RNA", at positions 355 to 774 of the family's 1533-position model. The record is from RNAcentral.
UAGGGAAUCUUCCGCAAUGGGCGAAAGCCUGACGGAGCAACGCCGCGUGAGUGAUGAAGGUCUUCGGAUCGUAAAACUCUGUUAUUAGGGAAGAACAAAUGUGUAAGUAACUAUGCACGUCUUGACGGUACCUAAUCAGAAAGCCACGGCUAACUACGUGCCAGCAGCCGCGGUAAUACGUAGGUGGCAAGCGUUAUCCGGAAUUAUUGGGCGUAAAGCGCGCGUAGGCGGUUUUUUAAGUCUGAUGUGAAAGCCCACGGCUCAACCGUGGAGGGUCAUUGGAAACUGUAAAACUUGAGUGCAGAAGAGGAAAGUGGAAUUCCAUGUGUAGCGGUGAAAUGCGCAGAGAUAUGGAGGAACACCAGUGGCGAAGGCGACUUUCUGGUCUGUAACUGACGCUGAUGUGCGAAAGCGUGGGGAUCAAACA